CAGGAGCCUAAAGAGAUGUCUUUCUAUGGUCUGUUGGCCAUUUCAGAACAUGGGCAGUGAAAUGGUCAGUUCAUUAGAAAGAAACAGCU
RNAcentral lists this small nucleolar RNA (89 nucleotides) under Cavia aperea (Brazilian guinea pig). Lineage: Eukaryota; Metazoa; Chordata; Mammalia; Rodentia; Caviidae. The record is from RNAcentral.